Molecule: long non-coding RNA, 2482 nt
Organism: Felis catus (domestic cat)
Lineage: Eukaryota; Metazoa; Chordata; Mammalia; Carnivora; Felidae
Exons: 8
Source: RefSeq, a predicted model, not a curated record
CUGGUUUGAGUUUCCUGAGCGAUGCCCUUUUCGCCAGCAGGGGGCGCGCCAACCCGCCAUUUCUGGAUCGUGCGGUGCGCAUGUGUGGUGGGCCUGCGGAUGUCCCCGCCUUUUCCCCAAUGAGGACAAGAGCUUAAGUUUCCUGAAGGCUACAGACGUCGUCCUACUGGCUCAGGACAACUUGAACCACGUCCUCAGGGAGCAAGAGGCUUCCUGCCCACCGCCCUGACCGGCCGAGGCCGGGGCUUUGUUGCAGUUUUCCCGGACAUUUUUCUAAAUUUUAAAAAAUAUUUUUAUUUAUUUUUGGGAGAGAGAGAGACAGAGACAGAGCGACAGCGGGAGGGGGACAGAGAGCGAGGGAGACACAGAACCGGGAGCAGGCUCUAGGCCCUGAGCGGUCAGCCCAGAGCCCAACGCGGUGCUCGAACCAACGAUCCGUGAGCUCGUGACCUGAGCCGAGGUCGGACGCUUAAACCGCCUGAGCCACCCAGGCGGCCCUCCCGGACGUUUUGCUGCAUGCCUGAUUUCUCAGCCAGUACUCCAGUACAACAUUGAACAGAACUGGGGACGUCUAGCCAAGAACUUCGAAGGAAAUUUAUCUGUUUACCCUACAGUUCUGUGAGCCAGCCGGGAGAUACCGAAACACCGUACUCACUGUGCAGCCUGCAGACAAGAUUCUAGAAAACUGACAGAAGCCAGCAGAAGGACACGCCUGGAAACUUUGGUUAUAUUGUGAAGACUUCGACUGGAAUGUCAUAUUUGAGAGAGGCAUGCACACAUUCAGACUGGACUAGAUCCUGAAUUCUUUUAGUUUCCUCUAGUGUUUGGCUACGACUCUCCAAACCAACAUGUCCAAGUUUUCUCCCACCCUUUCUAAGUUGAAAUUAUCGGGAACUAAAACUACACUUUCUCCAAAGCCAUGCAAGCUAGUUAGACAACGUGAUCUCAACGUCAGAGAAAUCGCAAGAGCUCAGGUAUAGACAGUCUCCAUGCGUGUUGCUGUAUGGGCCACUCAGAAAGAUCGCCAGAGACAUUCAAACUACAAACCGGGAAAAUCUGUCAAAUUGCCACCGCCAGCCCUCGCUCCAUCUGAAGACGCUUUGAGCUGGACAUCGACAACUCUUCUCCACUGGCUGCUUUCGAAACUCAGGAACUGAGAUGGACAUUUUCUCUGCCUCUCUGCCCGUGAAUUGUCUUCAUCCCAUUGGAUGUCCCAAACCACUACCCUCUUCUCCACAGUCCAGGACUGCAUAUAAGCCUCAAUUGCCUGACCGACUAGGUCUCAUAUCUUUGGGGCCUCUGGUCCUUCUAGCCAGAGGAAGAAUCAAAUGGACAUGAGACGGAUUAACAGAAGAAAAUGAAAUUUAAUUUUAUAUGUAUGUGGGAUCCACACACGCAUGGAAAUUCCAAGGAUAGUCAGGCAAAAUGAGUAGUGGAUGACUUCAUUCCAGCGAUGGAAGAUGCCUGCUGCCGUUCUGAGGCGGAGAGGAAUACAUAAAGCGUCUACUACUUGCCAGGCACUGUGGAUAAAAAGGUAAGACUGACAACUUUUGCCCUUCUGGAGCUCACAGCUCCAGGAUGACAGAGGGAGGAAGAGUCAGUUACACAAGCGUGAUGAGCAUUGUGAUAGGCAGGCGCAGGGGGCUGGGCGCGUGCAGAGGAGUUAGCGUGGCCUUCCGUGGGGAUAGGAUGGUAAGAAAAGUCUCGCUGGGGCAGAGCCUUGAAAGAUGUGCUAGCUCCCUCGUGGAAAACAAGGAAGUGGAUGGUCUAUCCCAGGCAUUGGAACAACAUGGGCGGAGAGGAGAGGUAAGGGAAGAUGGUUCGCGUGGGAAACCGCAGGUCUGACUGGGAACUUAAUAUCAGGGGCACUGGAAGGGCGAGGACUUACAGGUGCCUGAUGGUGAAGCGGGAUGUUGGAUGCACUAGGCGGGGGCUUUAUCUGGAGGGCAAUGGGAAAUCGUUAGUGUUUCAAGCAGAGGAAGCCAGUGGUCCGGCUCAUGAAGUGAGUAUUAAUGAGCCCCACAUCUCUUGUUGCAAGGAACGGCACAAAGUUUAGUUGCAACUAAACCCAAAUUAAAUUUGGCUCUGGGCAUCCUUUCCCUUGCCAGGAUGGCAAGAAUUUGAUGUUGCUUGUGUCUUAGAAAUUCUUGCUCUUUUUCCUAACUUGUAUAGAUUCUUCCUUUAUUUCAGUUAUUGUUUCAGGAUGAAUUCAGAGUGAUUUUUUUCACCCUUGGUUUUUAUUAUGCUUAUAACAUCACAUCGUGUCUCACUAAUUCAUACUGAAGUAUUCUUUUUUAUCUUUUACAUCUUUUUUUAUUUUACUUUUUAUUUUUUAAAAUUUCCAUCCAAAUUAGUUAGCAUCUAGUGCAACAAUGAUUUCAGAAGUCGAUUCCUCAGUGCUCCUGACCCAUUGAGCCCAUCCCCCCUCCCACACCCCCUCCAGUAACCCUCUGUUUGUUGUCCAUAUUCAUGAGUCUCUUCU